AUUGAACGCUGGCGGCAUGCCUUACACAUGCAAGUCGAACGGUAACAGGGAGCUUGCUCCGCUGACGAGUGGCGAACGGGUGAGUAAUGUAUCGGAACGUACCAUUCAGUGGGGGAUAACGUAGCGAAAGUUACGCUAAUACCGCAUAUUCUGUGAGCAGGAAAGCAGGGGAUCGCAAGACCUUGCGCUGAUUGAGCGGCCGAUAUCAGAUUAGCUAGUUGGUGAGGUAAAGGCUCACCAAGGCGACGAUCUGUAGCGGGUCUGAGAGGAUGAUCCGCCACACUGGAACUGAGACACGGUCCAGACUCCUACGGGAGGCAGCAGUGGGGAAUUUUGGACAAUGGGGGCAACCCUGAUCCAGCCAUGCCGCGUGAGUGAAGAAGGCCUUCGGGUUGUAAAGCUCUUUCGGCCGGGAAAAUACGCAUCAGUUAAUACCUGGUGUGGAUGAUGGUACCGGAAUAAGAAGCACCGGCUAACUACGUGCC
Molecule: ribosomal RNA, 485 nt
Filed under: uncultured bacterium
Lineage: Bacteria
Description: bacterial SSU rRNA
Rfam family: Bacterial small subunit ribosomal RNA
Source: RNAcentral